GUAGGGUGCAAGCGUUGUCCGGAAUUACUGGGCGUAAAGAGUUCGUAGGCGGUUUGUCGCGUCGUUUGUGAAAACCAGCAGCUCAACUGCUGGCUUGCAGGCGAUACGGGCAGACUUGAGUACUGCAGGGGAGACUGGAAUUCCUGGUGUAGCGGUGAAAUGCGCAGAUAUCAGGAGGAACACCAGUGGCGAAGGCGGGUCUCUGGGCAGUAACUGACGCUGAGGAACGAAAGCGUGGGUAGCGAACAGGAUUAGAUACCCUGGUAGUCCACGCCGUAAACGGUGGGCGCUAGGUGUGGGUUCCUUCCACGGAAUCCGUGCCGUAGCUAACGCAUUAAGCGCCCCGCCUGGGGAGU
This 356-nucleotide ribosomal RNA is filed under the name uncultured bacterium. RNAcentral describes it as "bacterial SSU rRNA". It matches the Rfam family "Bacterial small subunit ribosomal RNA", at positions 527 to 881 of the family's 1533-position model. The record is from RNAcentral.